GACGAACGCUGGCGGCGUGCCUAAUACAUGCAAGUUGAGCGCUGAAGGUUGGUACUUGUACCGACUGGAUGAGCAGCGAACGGGUGAGUAACGCGUGGGGAAUCUGCCUUUGAGCGGGGGACAACAUUUGGAAACGAAUGCUAAUACCGCAUAAAAACUUUAAACACAAGUUUUAAGUUUGAAAGAUGCAAUUGCAUCACUCAAAGAUGAUCCCGCGUUGUAUUAGCUAGUUGGUGAGGUAAAGGCUCACCAAGGCGAUGAUACAUAGCCGACCUGAGAGGGUGAUCGGCCACAUUGGGACUGAGACACGGCCCAAACUCCUACGGGAGGCAGCAGUAGGGACUCUUCGGCAAUGGACGAAAGUCUGACCGAGCAACGCCGCGUGAGUGAAGAAGGGUUUCGGAUCGUAAAACUCUGUUGGUAGAGAAGAACGUUGGUGAGAGUGGAAAGCUCAUCAAGUGACGGUAACUACCCAGAAAGGGACGGCUAACUACGUG
Molecule: ribosomal RNA, 497 nt
Filed under: uncultured bacterium
Lineage: Bacteria
Description: partial 16S ribosomal RNA
Rfam family: Bacterial small subunit ribosomal RNA
Source: RNAcentral